Molecule: ribosomal RNA, 467 nt
Filed under: uncultured bacterium
Lineage: Bacteria
Description: bacterial SSU rRNA
Rfam family: Bacterial small subunit ribosomal RNA
Source: RNAcentral
GACGAACGCUGGCGGCGUGCCUAAUACAUGCAAGUCGAACGCACGAAGUUGGAAAGCUUGCUUUCUAACCGAGUGAGUGGCGGACGGGUGAGUAACACGUGGGUAACCUGCCCAUUAGAGGGGGAUAACACUUGGAAACAGGUGCUAAUACCGCAUAAUUCUUUUGACCGCAUGGUCGGAAGAUGAAAGACGCUUUCGGGUGUCACUAAUGGAUGGACCCGCGCAGCAUUAGUUAGUUGGUGAGGUAAUGGCUCACCAAGACCGUGAUGCUUAGCCGACCUGAGAGGGUGAUCGGCCACACUGGGACUGAGACACGGCCCAGACUCCUACGGGAGGCAGCAGUAGGGAAUCUUCGGCAAUGGACGAAAGUCUGACCGAGCAACGCCGCGUGAGUGAAGAAGGUUUUCGGAUCGUAAAACUCUGUUGUUAGAGAAGAACAAGUGGGAGAGUAACUGCUCCCGCCUUGA